RNAcentral lists this ribosomal RNA (405 nucleotides) under uncultured bacterium. Its description in RNAcentral is "partial 16S ribosomal RNA". It matches the Rfam family "Bacterial small subunit ribosomal RNA", at positions 28 to 526 of the family's 1533-position model. The record is from RNAcentral.
GACGAACGCUGGCGGCGUGCUUAACACAUGCAAGUCGAGCGGAGCGGCGAACGGGUGAGUAACGCGUGAGUAACUGCCCCCCUCUCUGGGAUAACAGUUGGAAACGGCUGCUAAUACCGGAUAGUGGGGGAUGACUCGCGUCCUAUCAGCUUGUUGGUGGGGUAGUGGCCUACCAAGGCGACGACGGGUAGCCGGCCUGAGAGGGGGACCGGGCACAUUGGGCUGAGAUACGGCCCAAAGUCCUACGGGAGGCAGCAGUUGGGAAUAUUGCACAAUGGGGGAAACCCUGAUGCAGGAACGCCGCGUGAGGGUUGAAGGCUUUCGGGUUGUAAACCUCUUUCGUUACAGAACGGGUAUGUGCAGAAGAAGCGCCGGCUAACUACGUGCCAGCAGCCGCGGUAAUAC